CUUUCUUCUUUGCUCUCAAAUCUUAAAAAGAAGAAAGAAAAAUUACACUAGAGAUGAUCUUUAUUCUCAUUAGUGAAUACAUAUCGGUUUAGAAUCAAUUUUUUGUUUGGUUAUCGUUCGGUUUGGUCUGUUUCAACUGAAGAGAAAUUUACAGAAAUAAGACCAAUACUUGUUUAUUUUAGUUUGGCUAUACUUCCAUUUGAUUUAGUUCUGGUUUGGUCCAUCCUGGUUUGGGUUUG
Molecule: long non-coding RNA, 239 nt
Organism: Arabidopsis thaliana (thale cress)
Lineage: Eukaryota; Viridiplantae; Streptophyta; Magnoliopsida; Brassicales; Brassicaceae
Product: other RNA
Exons: 1
Source: RefSeq